UCUUGGGUCAUUUAGAGGAAGUAAAAGUCGUAACAAGGUCUCCGUAGGUGAACCUGCGGAGGGAUCAUUACAGAGUUCUCGCCCUACCGGGUAGAUCUCCCACCCACUGUUAUCGUUACUGUCGUUGCUUUGGCGGGCCGCCGGGCCCUGCCCGGCCGCCGGCUCCGGCUGGCGCGUGCCCGCCAAAGGCCCGCAAACUCUGAAUGUUAGUGUCGUCUGAGUACUAUACAAUAGUUAAAACUUUCAACAACGGAUCUCUUGGUUCUGGCAUCGAUGAAGAACGCAGCGAAAUGCGAUAAGUAAUGCGAAUUGCAGAAUUCAGUGAGUCAUCGAAUCUUUGAACGCACAUUGCGCCCUGUGGUAUUCCGCAGGGCAUGCCUGUUCGAGCGUCAUUUCAACCCUCAAGCUCUGCUUGGUGUUGGGCCCCGCCCCCGUGGCCGGCCCCAAAGUCAGUGGCGGUGCCGUCCGGCUCUAAGCGUAGUACAUCUCUCGCUCCAGGGCCCGGCGGUUGCCUGCCAGAACCCAAACUCUUAUGGUUGACCUCGGAUCAGGUAGGGAUACCCGCUGAACUUAAGCAUAUCAAUAAGCGGGAGGAA
RNAcentral lists this ribosomal RNA (596 nucleotides) under fungal sp. APA-2013. Its description in RNAcentral is "eukaryotic LSU rRNA". The stretch from base 239 to 392 matches the Rfam family "5.8S ribosomal RNA". The record is from RNAcentral. Lineage: Eukaryota; Fungi.